AAUAAGCAUCGGCUAACUCCGUGCCAGCAGCCGCGGUAAUACGGAGGAUGCGAGCGUUAUCCGGAUUUAUUGGGUUUAAAGGGUGCGUAGGCGGAUUGAUAAGUCAGUGGUGAAAACCUGCAGCUUAACUGUAGACUUGCCGUUGAUACUGUCAGUCUUGAGUGUGGUCAAGGUAGGCGGAAUGUGUAAUGUAGCGGUGAAAUGCUUAGAUAUUACACAGAACACCGAUUGCGAAGGCAGCUUACUGGGCCAUUACUGACGCUGAUGCACGAAAGCGUGGGGAUCGAACAGGAUUAGAUACCCUGGUAGUCCACGCCGUAAACGAUGAUCACUCGCUGUUAGCGAUACACAGUUAGCGGCUAAGCAAAAGCAUUAAGUGAUCCACCUGGGGAGUACGGCCGCAAGGCUGAAACUCAAAGGAAUUGACGGGGGCCCGCACAAGCGGAGGAACAUGUGGUUUAAUUCGAUGAUACGCGAGGAACCUUACCUGGGCUUAAAUGUAGAGUGCAUUCAGCUGAAAGGCUGAUUUCCUUCGGGACUUUCUGCAAGGUGCUGCAUGGUUGUCGUCAGCUCGUGCCGUGAGGUGUCGGGUUAAGUCCCAUAACGAGCGCAACCCUUAUCGUUAGUUGCCAGCGGGUAAUGCCGGGAACUCUAACGAAACUGCCGGUGUAAACCGAGAGGAAGGUGGGGAUGACGUCAAAUCAGCACGGCCCUUAUGUCCAGGGCUACACACGUGUUACAAUGGCCGGUACAGAGGGCAGCUAUGCCGCGAGGCAAUGCGAAUCUCGAAAGCCGGUCUCAGUUCGGAUCGGAGUCUGCAACUCGACUCCGUGAAGCUGGAUUCGCUAGUAAUCGCGCAUCAGCCAUGGCGCGGUGAAUACGUUCCCGGGCCUUGUACACACCGCCCGU
This 909-nucleotide ribosomal RNA is filed under the name uncultured bacterium. RNAcentral's name for it is "bacterial SSU rRNA". It matches the Rfam family "Bacterial small subunit ribosomal RNA", at positions 485 to 1397 of the family's 1533-position model. The record is from RNAcentral.